This 22-nucleotide microRNA is filed under the name Mus musculus (house mouse). RNAcentral describes it as "mmu-miR-465d-3p". Its record names the gene mmu-miR-465d-3p. The record is from miRBase by way of RNAcentral. Lineage: Eukaryota; Metazoa; Chordata; Mammalia; Rodentia; Muridae.
UGAUCAGGGCCUUUCUGAGUAA